GACGAACGCUGGCGGCGUGCCUAAUACAUGCAAGUAGAACGCUGAAGGAGGAGCUUGCUUCUCUGUAUGAGUUGCGAACGGGUGAGUAACGCGUAGGUAACCUGCCUGGUAGCGGGGGAUAACUAUUGGAAACGAUAGCUAAUACCGCAUAAGAGUAGAUGUUGCAUGACAUUUGCUUAAAAGGUGCAAUUGCAUCACUACCAGAUGGACCUGCGUUGUAUUAGCUAGUUGGUGGGGUAACGGCUCACCAAGGCGACGAUACAUAGCCGACCUGAGAGGGUGAUCGGCCACACUGGGACUGAGACACGGCACAGACGCCUACGGGAGGGAGCAGGAGGGAAUCUUCGGCAAUGGGCGGAAGUCUGACCGAGCAACGCCGAGUGAGUGAAGAAGGUUGUCGGAUCGUAAAGCUCUGUUGUAAGAGAAGAACGAGUGUGAGAGUGGAAAGUUCACACUGUGACGGUAUCUUACCAGAAAGGGACGGCUAACUACGUG
RNAcentral lists this ribosomal RNA (495 nucleotides) under uncultured bacterium. RNAcentral's name for it is "partial 16S ribosomal RNA". It matches the Rfam family "Bacterial small subunit ribosomal RNA", at positions 28 to 507 of the family's 1533-position model. The record is from RNAcentral.